Molecule: ribosomal RNA, 236 nt
Filed under: uncultured bacterium
Lineage: Bacteria
Description: partial 16S ribosomal RNA
Rfam family: Bacterial small subunit ribosomal RNA
Source: RNAcentral
CGGAACGGGUGAGUAACACGUGAGCAACCUACCUUACACAGGGGGAUAGCCGUUGGAAACGACGAUUGAUACCGCAUGAGACCACAGAAUCGCAUGAUAUAGGGGUCAAAGAUUUAUCGGUGUAAGAAGGGCUCGCGUCUGAUUAGCUAGUUGGAAGGGUAAAGGCCUACCAGGGCGACGAUCAGUAGCCGGUCUGAGAGGAUGAACGGCCACAUUGGAACUGAGACACGGUCCAA